AUGGACUCAUGGUCCAGUCCAGAUGCCAACAUAAAUAUUUUUAGGCCAAUUACUGAAUCAAUCUCGCAAUGGUUGAUGCAGCAGCGGAGGAGCUGGCCGUCGUAUUUUGUGAGGUUGCCGAGUGAAGGGACUGCAGCGGACUGCUGGUGCCAGGAUCCCUUCUCUAUUCUCCAUUCUUUCAAUUCAUUGCAGAACACAGAUGUGACAGGACAAAAAGUCAGAUGUGAUGUUGCAACACCGACUCAGCCAUAUGUAGUAGAUGAAAGAGGGCUCUCUAGAAGGCGAUCUCACCCACAGUAG
This 300-nucleotide ribosomal RNA is filed under the name Triticum aestivum (bread wheat). Its description in RNAcentral is "partial small subunit ribosomal RNA". Lineage: Eukaryota; Viridiplantae; Streptophyta; Magnoliopsida; Poales; Poaceae. The record is from RNAcentral.